RNAcentral lists this ribosomal RNA (425 nucleotides) under uncultured bacterium. RNAcentral describes it as "partial 16S ribosomal RNA". It matches the Rfam family "Bacterial small subunit ribosomal RNA", at positions 354 to 796 of the family's 1533-position model. The record is from RNAcentral.
GUGGGGAAUAUUGGACAAUGGGCGCAAGCCUGAUCCAGCCAUGCCGCGUGAGUGAUGAAGGCCCUAGGGUUGUAAAGCUCUUUCACCGGUGAAGAUAAUGACGGUAACCGGAGAAGAAGCCCCGGCUAACUUCGUGCCAGCAGCCGCGGUAAUACGAAGGGGGCUAGCGUUGUUCGGAAUUACUGGGCGUAAAGCGCACGUAGGCGGACAUUUAAGUCAGGGGUGAAAUCCCGGGGCUCAACCCCGGAACUGCCUUUGAUACUGGGUGUCUGGAGUAUGGAAGAGGUAAGUGGAAUUCCGAGUGUAGAGGUGAAAUUCGUAGAUAUUCGGAGGAACACCAGUGGCGAAGGCGGCUCACUGGCUCGAUACUGACGCUGAGGUGCGAAAGCGUGGGGAGCAAACAGGAUUAGAUACCCCUGUAGUCC